RNAcentral lists this ribosomal RNA (500 nucleotides) under uncultured bacterium. Its description in RNAcentral is "partial 16S ribosomal RNA". It matches the Rfam family "Bacterial small subunit ribosomal RNA", at positions 30 to 523 of the family's 1533-position model. The record is from RNAcentral.
AUUGAACGCUGGCGGAAUGCUUUACACAUGCAAGUCGAACGGCAGCACGGACUUCGGUCUGGUGGCGAGUGGCGAACGGGUGAGUAAUACAUCGGAACGUGCCCAGUCGUGGGGGAUAACGUAGCGAAAGCUACGCUAAUACCGCAUACGAUCUAAGGAUGAAAGCGGGGGAUCGCAAGACCUCGCGCGAUUGGAGCGGCCGAUGGCAGAUUAGGUAGUUGGUAGGGUAAAGGCCUACCAAGCCGACGAUCUGUAGCUGGUCUGAGAGGAUGAUCAGCCACACUGGGACUGAGACACGGCCCAGACUCCUACGGGAGGCAGCAGUGGGGAAUUUUGGACAAUGGGCGCAAGCCUGAUCCAGCCAUUCCGCGUGCAGGAUGUAGGCCUUCGGGUUGUAAACUGCUUUUGUACAGAACGAAAAGGCUCUGGUUAAUACCCGGGGCUCAUGACGGUACUGUAAGAAUAAGCACCGGCUAACUACGUGCCAGCAGCCGCAGUAA